RNAcentral lists this transfer RNA (74 nucleotides) under Candidatus Magasanikiibacteriota bacterium. RNAcentral's name for it is "tRNA-His". It matches the Rfam family "tRNA". From Rfam's summary of the family: Transfer RNA (tRNA) molecules are approximately 80 nucleotides in length. Their secondary structure includes four short double-helical elements and three loops (D, anti-codon, and T loops). Further hydrogen bonds mediate the characteristic L-shaped molecular structure. tRNAs have two regions of fundamental functional importance: the anti-codon, which is responsible for specific mRNA codon recognition, and the 3' end, to which the tRNAs corresponding amino acid is attached (by aminoacyl-tRNA synthetases). tRNAs cope with the degeneracy of the genetic code in two manners: having more than one tRNA (with a specific anti-codon) for a particular amino acid; and 'wobble' base-pairing, i.e. permitting non-standard base-pairing at the 3rd anti-codon position. The record is from RNAcentral. Lineage: Bacteria; Candidatus Magasanikiibacteriota.
GUGGCUAUGGUGUAGCGGUAACACAGAGGCUUGUGGAGCCUUUGUCACGGGUUCAACUCCCGUUAGCCACCCCA